Molecule: long non-coding RNA, 964 nt
Organism: Solanum tuberosum (potato)
Lineage: Eukaryota; Viridiplantae; Streptophyta; Magnoliopsida; Solanales; Solanaceae
Exons: 3
Source: RefSeq, a predicted model, not a curated record
CAAGUUUUUACGUCUAGUCGAGAAGCUCAGUUUGUCUAAUCUGUAACUUUUCUUAAGGUUUCAAGGACAGAAAAUGAACAGGGAAGGAGAUUGGAUGUGUGCUUCAUGCCAGCACGUAAAUUUCAAGAAACGGGAUGGAUGCCAACGAUGUAGCUGUCCUAAAUAUGCAACGUCAGCUGACGUUGCAAUGUAUGGACUAAACAAAACAGAUGUUCUUGCUGGAGAUUGGUAUUGUAGUGGUAUGAACUGUGGUUCUCACAACUAUGCAAGCAGAACAAGUUGCUAUCGAUGUGGUUCCGUAAAAAGUGAUUAUUAUGGUAUUGGCACAGGAAUGAUGGCACCAGCAGGUUAUGGAUAUGAUUCAAGUGUUCUUCCUGGUUGGAAGAGUGGUGAUUGGAUUUGCACCAGGUUAGUUUCACAUUUUUCAUUUUCCAUGCAAGUGACUUACUCUACGACAACAAAUUUGAUCGGCUAUAUGAAUCCUCAUUUUCCAUAUCGCUCCACUUAAGUUCAUCUUAAUCCAAUAUUAUAAGGUAUAGACCCCUGCAUUAAGCUCCCACGAUCCGCAGGAUCCAGUAAAUGGCCAAGCCAUAUAGUCUAUAGAGUCUUAUGUAUGCAGCCUCACCUUCCACAGAUUGAACUCAUGACGUCCUAGUCACAUUACGGAUAAUGUUACUGUUGCACCAAAGCUCCCCUUCACAUCGCAGUCCUAUGUUAUAUAAACCAAAAGUGAAUACCAAAAAUAAAAAGUACUAGAAGUCCUCGAUAUUUACUACGAGCAUAUUUAACUCACACAACUUCCUUCUUGAUCUACAGAAUAGGCUGUGGUAUGCACAACUAUGCCAGUAGAGCUGAAUGUUAUAAGUGCAAGACACCUAAGGAUUCUGGAGGUGACAUGAGAGAAAGUGAGUUGUAUUGAGGGACGCGGCGACAUUAAGUUUUUAUUGAAGAUUUACCUUCAGAG